GAUCACCAGAGCCCGAACGAGGUCACUCCCGACCCUCCCUCCCGGUACUUUGACUCGUGGCGUUGGGGGUAUUUCUUUGAACUCACUGAGGGUUGGUGGUGGCGCGCGUGUGCAUGGAAGAAGGAGUUUUUUACUUUGUUCUAUGCUUUUUGCUUCAAAAUACGCCUUUCCCUGCCGGUGAACUUACAUACUACUUGUCAACCAUCAUCCCUCCUCAGUGACCUCGGAGGGCGAUGGUGAUCGUAAAAUUACGAUCAAUUUCUCACCUUACAGGUAAGUCUCGAUUAAUCGUCAAUAACAUAACAUCCAGGCCAACCCUAUCCUCCCUAAGCAACGUUAUCCUAUCCUCCCUUUCUAUCUAUAGCUGCAUUACGUAUUAUUAUUAUUAUAUGUCCAUGCACCUCCACACGGGAUUGUUAACAAUUGUUCUUCUUCCAGCUUUAAUAUUCAUGAUGUGCAUAUAAAAAUCUCUUGAGCAUGAAGACCAAAGUUGAGCUGGUCCUGCUGUUACAUCCAAUCCAACCAACAACCUCCCAACCACGUCUUAUUUUAUUGUGGUGUUCCAUUCUUCUUUUACUGCUCAACACUGUGCUCCAGCCAACAAUACUGUUGAUGAAUUUUAGGACAAAAAACGACCAUAAUCAACCACUUUACAUGAAUCAUCUAAUGGACGAAUAAGAAGACGGGAGAUCAUGAUUCCUGAUGCUCUCCUUGAUUGCUCCACCAACCCACAUUCCCUCUCAGAAUUUCCAGCUUGGAGCUAUUUCACAUCAUUUCUACCCACUUUUUGCCUGCCUGGCACCUUUUCUUAUGAAUGACCAACCGGAUGAAAUCAAUCUAACCACCUCAGUUCAAGCUCACUCGCAUUAUGUAUGGCAGCUAAUCCAUCGAAGCACAGUCGGCAUAAAACUGUACGCUAACUAACUAACUACUCUCUAUCUUGGAAUUCCUGAUUAUAAAUUACACAUGAAAUUUAGAUGCCUACAUAUAUGCUACCAACAAAUACUACUCCAUGUACAUUAUUACGUACUAGCCACACUGUGAGCCAUUUCAUUGCAAAAAUUCCAUUUGCUUUAUCGCAAAUGCAUAUUUCUACUCCGUUCCCAGAUAUUUUCAGCGAAAUAGAUAUUCAGACACCUUUGCUUCCACGAAUCGUUGUUCACAAGCCAUAUAUUUUCGGAAUUGUUAAAAUUGAUUACGGUAAGAAUGGGUGUGUUUGAGCUGUUCAUCAUGAAGGAGAAUAGACUAUACAGAACUUGAAUGUGGAGUAUGAAGCUGAAAUAUGACAUGCGAAGAAGAAAUGUGAAGUGAAAGCAUUAUUUGAGUCCUUCAUGGUCCCGGCCAGCAUAUAGUAAAUAAACUUUGCAGCAGUUGGGUCUUGGUCGUCGUUCGUCCCUUGCUGCUGCUUGGUUAGUGAGAUAGGGCAAAGAAUAAUAAGAAUCACUUUGAAGUCUCCCCAAGAGCAACAAUGGAGCUGAAUGAAGGGUAGAGAGAGCACAAUAAAUUUUACGAGGAGGAUGGGGAUGAAACGGAUAAUGUUUGACCCUUGCCUGCCUGCCUGCCUGCUACACCCGUAUAAUGUACCCUUGAAUAGUUCAAUGUCUUGACAAUGAAACGAAAGUCGUCCUUUUAAAUUUAAUCCGUUUUCACAAUGCUUCAAUGAAGCUAAAGUUUGUAAAUCAGCAUGAGCCGUCGUUAUUCCAAACUAUUUUACUAUUCACUCUUCAAAUUUAACAGGGUGUUUAAAAAUUACCAUUAAAUACAAUACAAUUUAUUUUCAGCAAGAGUUAAACGUCAAGUUGACAGUAGGGAUAGUGCCAGAAAAACUGUGUUCUUCGCAGUUUACAUGCAUAUUAUCGCUCAUCUAUUAGCUAUUAUGCGAGUGUUGCUGGUAAUCAAAAAUAAUGGAAUGCUACACAUAUUUAUAUGCAUACAGCGGAGGUUGAUGUAAAUAUACAUUAAUUGAUUAAUUUUGCGAAUCAUAUAAUCAACGUCAGUGGUUUUUGCAUCAUAGGUAGAAGUUUGAUGAACUAUACGAGAAAGAGGGCGACAUUUAAUUUGUAUUUAUUUGUACUUUCGUGUAGAUAAAUAUGUAUGUAUGUAUGUAGGUAUGCACACUUACAACUUCUGUAUAAAUAUUUAUACAUACAUAGAUGUCUGAUCCAGCUUAUUUGGUAUUUGUUAAACAAAAACUAAAGUUCAAUCAAAUUCAAACUGUUGAUUAAAUAGACACGCAUAUUCGUCUUGUCUAAUUGUCUUUUUAAUACAAGGAAACAUGUUUAUCUGAGAAUUGAAAUGAACUGAAUUAUUAGCUAGUAUGCAGAUAUCAAAUUUAAGAUACUGGAUGAAUUGAAUUACUGGUUUGAAGUAGGAAAUUGUGGUCCGGCUUUUUAUGCAUGAGACUAUGAUACUGCAUACAUAUUUACGUAGAUGGAUGUACAUAUAUAAUAUGUACUACCUCCAAAUGCGCAUUAGAAGGAAGUGCCUAAGAGCGUGAGACAAUUUAAAUCUGUUCAACAAAUGUCAUUCAUUUCGGUUGAACGUAAUGUUAAACGUACAAUGCCUGCCAAUAAUACACCAAUAAUAUAUUUAGUGGUGUCUUGUUGCGCUAUAUAACUAACUCAUCAGAGCAUUUUGUUUCACAUCCAAGGUUUUUGAUAAGUCUUUUGUGUGUUAUGCAUAACAUUGUACUUUUUGCUCAUCCUCAAUGCUAAAAGGAUAUUAUGUGUGUGCAUAAGUACAUAUGCACGUAUUGACGAUAUUAAUGAACAAACUGGCAACCACAUCUGCACAGAAUGAUAAAUUAUGUCCUUGUUUCUGACUGUUUGUGAAAAUCAAUGCAUGCUCAAUUUAAAUGCUUUCCGGUUUUAUGUGAGCCGAGAGUGUAUGUAUAUUCGCUUCUGAAAAUAGUCAGCAAGAAAUCUCUCAAAAAAGGUCUGAAACCCCGUGUGCGAUGCACCAAGUCCCUUUUCACUAUGUUUUUUUAAUGGAAGUGUAAAGUAAGUGAAAUUUAAGACUCCUCGGGGAACUGGUGGCAGUGAAACUCCUGAUGAGACUGGUGGUUCCAAGAAAAUUCUCUGCUGGUAUUGCAUUUAAAAAAAUCUUUUUGUGGGAGGCAAAGAAUAAAGAAAGUCUGUUGCGCUUACCCUAAUUCUUUGUACAUGCGUACAUACAUAGGCCUUUAGUAUAUGCCUCCAUAAAAAUCAGUAGGUUUGGAUGGUAAUUGGGUUUCAGUUUCUUUAACGAUUGUAAAUAUCCUCAUUAUAAGCAGUUCUUUAAAUUUACCCCAUUUCAAAUAUCAGCUAAAGGCAUUACCUUCAGCUUCAAUAGUCCAACUGCUUGCCUGAAACUUGAGUGGUUUGUCGCCCUUUUAGAUACUAAAUGGUACUUUCACAACAUCCAGCUCAAGAAAUUCUGUUGGAGAGUAUGGUUGACCUCAUAUAUACCGCACCGAUUUCUGCCUAUAUCCCUCAACAAGAAAGAACUGUCAGGUUGUUGUCAUUUAGCAAUCUGUUCUGUUGGAAUAAAUGAGUGUGACCCAACCUCAUUUUCCUUAUUCUCAGCUCAAAGUGCCGUGCUUUGAAGCAAUUGUCGGACAGAAUGGAUUUUCAGGAAUUUUGUCAGAGAACACUAGAUCGAUGGUGGUAUUAUAAUAAUAAUAACUCAUGGCCGAGUGCAAAAACCUUGUAUUUGGUACAACAUUUGAGACACCGUAUUCAUAUUUCAUCUAUGUAUGUUUAUUCAUUCUUAAAGUUAAGAGAUUUCUAAAGUAGUUUUAAUUUUAAUCUUAAAAUUUUAACCUUAAGGUAUUCAGUGCAUAAGCAUUAUUUACGAAGGGUCCAUCCUUUUCCUUUCACAACUCAGGAUUAGAGUUAUUAACAUCCGUUUUUUCAACGACCAAUAUGUCCAACGGGGUGCACUAGCCAUGAUAGUUGCGUACUGUUUAAUUAUUUCGCAUGAACUCUAGGAAAUUACCAUGAACUGAUCCAGUGCAGUACAGCAGAAUGAUAAUUGUAGUGUGGAUGGAUUCACGAUAAACACGCAGUUUUUGAGUUUUCAGUGCAAUAAGUACCUCACUUGGAUGGACUUCGUGUCGUGGGUUAUUUAACCAAAGUGACGUUUCUACAUCAAUUUCCAAAUAUAUUCGCGAUAAAAAUAUGAUGAUUUCUAUGAGUAAUUUUAAAAACCAGUAUGGGUCACCCCCUCUUGCCGUUUAUAGCCCAAGCCAGCGCUCAUGGAAUUAUAUGUCCGUACAAAAUAAAAUUGGUAUAUUUAUAUGAAUAAAGACAUGUUCUAUCCACUAUUUGACGGUUUGUUUAAAUAGGUUUUUGAUCAAGUCGAGUUGAGAUCUAGCAGCUAUCAAUGAAUAAUUGCCUCAUAAUAAUCAGAGUUUCCCUCUCAUAAUAUGAAUAAUCAGUAUCAUUCAUAUGUACAUAUGUAUUGUUGUAUGCGUAUAUUAAGAAUUAAAAAUAUUAAUGCUGACAGACAUUAGUCAAUUGUUGAAAAUAAUUCAGAUUCAAGUAAAAAACACUAAGAAUAGCAAUAAUAAGGUUCAACCUUGAGAUGAACGUCGCAAAGUACUUUUUCUUUUAACGAAUUGUUUUUAAUUUUGAGUUCAUUGAGGAACAAAAAUUUGGAGUGGUUUAUCUUAGUAUGAUAUCCGUAGGAGAUAAUAACAUUUUUCAACCAACCAACCAACCAACGUCAACACCACGGUUUAUGUGACCGUUGACCGUACAUUGUAAUAAGAUAACGUACACACGGGUUACAAAGAGUUCAACAUUUCAAAACAGUUCUUACAUACGUACUAAAAUACAUAAUGGGCGAUUAAUUUAAUACUAUCUCACAUUUACAAUUACUCAGUUUCUAUUAUUAUCGCUCGGUUCAAUACUCAUGUAUAGCUUAAAAACAUAGCACGAUCGUGGUGCUGCUGGUGGCUUUAAUGCACAUAUACUUAUUUAUGUGACUGCGUGGAGGAAGGCGAGGAGUUUCUAUUUUACGACUUAAAAUGUGAAUCACCAAACAUUACGUUUUCAUAGACUUGUUAUUAUACAAGAAUUAUCAUGUCAGUUAUUUACUGCUUGCGACGUAUUGAAAUAGUGAAUCCGUGGUCAAUAAGCAAGUGAAUUGAACAAUAUAUUUUACUGAUUGCAACUUUUUGAUAACAGUUUUGGGGCCCCAUAACGUCAUAUGUUAUGUCUAAAACAAUUAAAUGGGACAGUUAAUGAGGCUGAAAUUAGUAAAUUAGAGCACGAAUCCCAUGCUAUAAAGCAGUAGCUUUAGCCACUAAUGACAAUAAUCUUAAACAUGAAUAAAUUAGCACUUAAUUCCUAUUUCAUGAGGGCCUUGUGACUUGCAGCACUGCGAAUCAUGAAAAACGCUGCUUUGCCUCGAUCAAGAUCAAGGACAAUCAUUUGCAUACGUUGAGCAUACUUAAAAUAUUGUUGUGUCUGUUCUUUACGCUUGAUCUGCUUCACUUUUAUAAAACAAUCGACGUAUGUACAUGCAUGCAUACAGAUGUGUAUAACGAACACGCAUUCUAAUAGUGCAAGUUCAAUAUCUAUCUAGCAUUGAACACGGCUAAUAAUAAUGUUGUGCAUACGUAUGUAUGUACAUGCAUACAUUUAUCUAAAUACAUAAUAUAGAUUGUAUGUACAUCUAGUACUCUGUACAUUGACUAUUUUCGAUGAUUGCUUCUGCAGAACCCAGUAUUAAUCCAGAUCAGUUAUGUGCGAUAAAAAAGUGAACGACGAAUGCAAAAAUAUUUAUUAUUCAAUCAUAAUAAACCUAUGUACAUUUUUGGGUUAAUACAAAAUUAUAACAGCCAAUGCACUGCAAACUUAAUUUGUAAUUGUCACCUCAGUCGUUGUUCACAAUCAUCGUACUCUUAUCAUCUGAGAAAAAUGAUGGAUUUUGAGACUGUACCAUCAGGAAAAUACAAUGUACAUAUUCUUUUAUUAUUUCCGCAGUAUCUGCAACAUUUGUAUUGCAAAGAAGCAAAACUGACGGAUGAAUUAUAAGUUUGCAUUUAACAGCCAGCAUGAACCAGUGUGCUCAUCUAUUUCUACUGUGACUACAAUUAAAUUUAUUACCUUCGUUUCCAUCACAUAUUUACUGCAAGUCUCUGGUAGUGAGUUGCACAUCAUCAUCAGGAAUAGGAAUUCAAUUAUGGUUUACUAAUAUACACACAUGCAUAUUGGGAAGAUAGAAGGUCAGCAUCAUAAUUCACUUGUCUUCCCUCAUCAUUUAAUACUUUAACAAAGUAUAAAACAUUAAUGAAUCAAGAUUUGAAGAUCAAGGAUAAUGUAAUUGUUGGGUCAACCACACCACGGAUUUGAAACAUUUGAAACAACCUCUGCGCCAUUGGGUCAACUUAAUUAUCACAAUUUGAGAAAGAAUCCGACCUUGACUUUCCCCUCUCUUUAAGAGUAUGUAACUUGAGGAUUCUUCAUUUCAUGGGAUUCUUCUUUGACCAUUUGAGAUGGAGGAUGCCGGAGAAGAGCAGGGAACAAGUAAUAAUAAAGAAGCAAGAAGACUUAACUGUGGUCCAACUAAUAAAACAAGAAUAAAAGAAGUGUUGUUGUGUGCCAAGUGCCAGAAGGAAGAGAGUCAGGCAACGGAUGUGAGAAAAGGUGCAGCAGCAAUAGCAUAACAUCGACCAAGAGGCAACACAUUCAUGAAGGAGCAUUCCAUUUAGCUUUUUAGGGGACAAGUUAAUGAGUCAGAAUUAAAGCAAACGAGUGAAUGGUACUCUUUAAUUUCAGUCAGUCAAUUAUUUAUUUGACAAUAAAACUUUGCUGUGAGAGAGCAAAGAUUUGAAUUUGCUGGAGACGAGAUGCACUGAGAAUAAUCCCAUAUAAUCCCAUUAUUAUUAUCAUCUCUCUCUCUCUUUGAACCACCGCAGCGUCAGACAAGUCAGACUUCAAAGUGCGUGGUGGUUGUUACAAAUAUAUACUUGCACGUUGUAUGUGUAUCAUCAGUGAUAUUGAUGAGGGUGAGACAGGAUGUUGGAGCUCUUUGAAUGUUUGCUUUUUGUAACCAACCAUCCACCUUGAACCACUUUUUCCUUACUUCAUCCCUUGAUUAUCAGCAGCAAUUCAAAGUAAUCAGAUCCAGCAAAAACGUGAGGAUUAUGUAUGUGCCUUGAUAACUUUUAGAAACGAAAGAUCUACUAGCCUCGAGGAAUGGAGGAUACAAGUCUUACCUGUAUUUUUAGAUGCGAUUUUUGUAGGUUUGUAUAUGUAUGUACAUAUAUGUGUCUCAAUUCAAUAAAACACCCCAAACUUCUUGAAA
This is a long non-coding RNA of Folsomia candida, 7293 nucleotides long. RefSeq lists it as uncharacterized. NCBI's taxonomy places the organism in Eukaryota, Metazoa, Arthropoda, Collembola, Entomobryomorpha, Isotomidae. The transcript has 2 exons. The record is from RefSeq and is a predicted model, not a curated record.